This is a long non-coding RNA of Peromyscus eremicus (cactus mouse), 1587 nucleotides long. RefSeq lists it as uncharacterized. The record is from RefSeq and is a predicted model, not a curated record. NCBI's taxonomy places the organism in Eukaryota, Metazoa, Chordata, Mammalia, Rodentia, Cricetidae. The transcript has 2 exons.
CACAGGAAGAGGGUGGCUGUACUUCCACUGCCCCUUCUUGUGUAAGGCAUGCCUCCUCUAGAGUUGGAGUUAGAAAGGAGGGGACAGCACCAAAUGCACAUACGUGCUACCUAGCUGAUAUUCUUAGGGCCCUGUGUCAGUGCCACGGGAAGACCCAGCCCCGAGCACAGCAAGAAAAGGCAAAGGCCAUGUCUCCUAGAGUAGACGCUUGGCGGCCUCCAUCAAGUUACUUGAUCUCUGCUCUUCUCUUCAUGUAGGUUGGAGGUGCUCAUUGCCCUCAUGCUCACGGUUUUCAUCAACUCUUAAAUGUGAGCAGCACAUGUUCAGCCAAACCUCAGAGGAAUUUAUGAUCUAAUCGUGACUGGCUUUGGGGCUUCAGCACAAGUGCCAGAGUGUGUCUGAUGUCACAACCGCCACUCGCUGAUUGUGACAGCACUUUUUUCUCCCACUCGCUCAUGAAACCACAACAAACGCAAGGCCAUGGUGAUGGAAGUAUUACACAGGAGCCUUCAAUCUGCUAGAAUUUAUUUUUUAGCGUAUUGUUAGUGAACUUGGAUGCUAACUUACAGUGGAAAAGACAAGAAUUUUCACAGAGUUUCCAAGCAUUAGAACUUAUCUAACAUUCACAACAACCUGUGGAUGUUAUAUUCCUCUUUGUGCUAUAUAGUAAGCAGCCUUGAAAGAUUGAGGUACGUGCUCCAUCCUAGAAUUCAACCUGAGGUCCAUGUCCCCUCUCCACAGUCCGAUAUGCUUGAAGCCACGGCAAACUGCCCAUUCUUGAAAGUCGGGAUUUAAUUUUGGUGAGUGCUCUCAAAAUCUCAUUCCCAGGUACCAAAUGGUAGGUCUAAGAGGAAGUAGCUCAUUAGAGGAGCAGGAGAUGGGCCUAUAAUACACAGCAGGAGCAUCGACUACCUCCACUUACGAAGUUCACUCUUAGAAGGAUCAGCCGGAGAGAGCUCUUGAUCUACAAACUGCCUGCACCCACGUGCUUGAUAGAGGCAGCUAAAACCUUAAGAGAGUUUAAAAGUCUAAACUAAACCUGAGAUUGGGGAAGGGGAAAAAAGCAAGUCCACCACAAUCAAAGAAAAACAGCCAAGAAGAGCCAAAAAGACCUCUGCUGAGAUUGACCAUCCAGUGACAAGUGUGUCUGGCCAGAACUCAAAAGAGGUGUCACACACAUCAAAAGUGAGGCUGCCGAAGAGCAGUGUGGGGAUGAGCAUGCAGUGAGCUGCAGAAGCUCACAGCAGAUGGCCACAGAGACUUGGAGCCCAAAGCUGUUCACUUCCAGACCAUCAGUGCCUUCCUGAAGGAAAAUUAGCCAAGAACAAAAAGAUCCAGUUCCUCCCCUGCUGGCCAUUAGCUCACUACCCAAGAAACCAAUUGAAGACAGUGGUCAUUUCCCCCUUUGCUGCUGUGGUAAAGGAGCUUGGAGCCUUCUCUGUAGCCUGCCCAUGGAAAGGGCUCAGGACCAAAUGGUGUCUGUUUCUCUGUGGGUCUGCCUUCACAUUUCCUACACAAAUAACUACGUAUUUUUAUAAGCCAUACUAAAUUGUCUUUGGACUAGUGGAAUAAAGAUGACAGAUAAAA